This is a long non-coding RNA of Morone saxatilis (striped sea-bass), 319 nucleotides long. RefSeq lists it as uncharacterized. The transcript has 3 exons. The record is from RefSeq and is a predicted model, not a curated record. Lineage: Eukaryota; Metazoa; Chordata; Actinopteri; Moronidae.
AAGAAUAUUGCAUAAGAACUCUCUGUUACAAAUAACAUGUAAAAGGUUUUCUGAUGAGAGUGCAGGUACUGCCCCUGAUGAGCUGCUUCAGGUUGAGGUGUGGCUCUGCAUAAAAGGAGCUGCAGGUACCAGCUGCGUCUAUGGAUUUUCUAUCCAGCGGACAGGUCUAAAGUUUUGAAAUGAAUCGAGGACACUGUGGUCAAGGAGGCCACGGACAAGGUGGUGGGUACGGACAGUGCGGACAAGGUGGUGGGCACGGACAGUGCGGACAAGGUGGUGGGCACGGAAACUGUGGUGGCCAUGGACAUGGUGGCCAUGG